UCCUGGCUCAGGACGAACGCUGGCGGCGUGCCUAACACAUGCAAGUCGAACGGAGUGAAACGCUGAUUUGACGGUAGCUUGCUACUUGAUUUUCUUGUUUCACUUAGUGGCGGACGGGUGAGUAACGCGUGAGCAACCUGCCUCUAAGUGGGGAAUAACAUUUGGAAACGAAUGGUAAUACCGCAUAAUAUAUAUUUGCCGCAUGACAGAUAUAUCAAAGAUUUAUCGCUUAGAGAUGGGCUCGCGUCCGAUUAGCUAGUUGGUGAGGUAACGGCUCACCAAGGCGACGAUCGGUAGCCGGACUGAGAGGUUGAACGGCCACAUUGGGACUGAGACACGGCCCAGACUCCUACGGGAGGCAGCAGUGGGGGAUAUUGCGCAAUGGGGGAAACCCUGACGCAGCAACGCCGCGUGAAGGAUGAAGGUUUUCGGAUUGUAAACUUCUUUUGUUAGGGACGAAUUUUGACGGUACCUAACGAAUAAGCUCCGGCUAACUACGUGCCAGCAGCCGCGGUAAUACGUAGGGAGCAAGCGUUGUCCGGAUUUACUGGGUGUAAAGGGUGCGUAGGCGGCUUUGCAAGUCAGAUGUGAAAUUUAUGGGCUCAACCCAUAAACUGCAUUUGAAACUGCUUAGCUUGAGUGAAGUAGAGGCAGGCGGAAUUCCCUGUGUAGCGGUGAAAUGCGUAGAGAUAGGGAGGAACACCAGUGGCGAAGGCGGCCUGCUGGGCUUUUACUGACGCUGAGGCACGAAAGCGUGGGUAGCAAACAGGAUUAGAUACCCUGGUAGUCCACGCUGUAAACGAUGAUUACUAGGUGUGGGGGGUCUGACCCCUUCCGCGCCGCAGUUAACACAAUAAGUAAUCCACCUGGGGAGUA
RNAcentral lists this ribosomal RNA (876 nucleotides) under uncultured bacterium. Its description in RNAcentral is "bacterial SSU rRNA". It matches the Rfam family "Bacterial small subunit ribosomal RNA", at positions 17 to 882 of the family's 1533-position model. The record is from RNAcentral.